AAUAGGUUGCCUGAUUAAAGGAUUAUUUUGAUAGAAUAAAUUAUACAAUAAUAUAUUGUAUCUAUUA
RNAcentral lists this transfer RNA (67 nucleotides) under Tanystylum orbiculare. Its description in RNAcentral is "tRNA-Ile". The record is from RNAcentral. Lineage: Eukaryota; Metazoa; Arthropoda; Pycnogonida; Pantopoda; Tanystylidae.